Molecule: ribosomal RNA, 500 nt
Filed under: uncultured bacterium
Lineage: Bacteria
Description: partial 16S ribosomal RNA
Rfam family: Bacterial small subunit ribosomal RNA
Source: RNAcentral
AUUGAACGCUGGCGGCAUGCCUUACACAUGCAAGUCGAACGGCAGCACGGGGGCAACCCUGGUGGCGAGUGGCGAACGGGUGAGUAAUGCAUCGGAACGUGUCCUCUUGUGGGGGAUAACCAGUCGAAAGAUUGGCUAAUACCGCAUGAGAUCGCAAGAUGAAAGCGGGGGACCGCAAGGCCUCGCGCGAGAGGAGCGGCCGAUGCCGGAUUAGCUAGUUGGUGGGGUAAAAGCCUACCAAGGCGACAAUCCGUAGCUGGUCUGAGAGGACGACCAGCCACACUGGGACUGAGACACGGCCCAGACUCCUACGGGAGGCAGCAGUGGGGAAUUUUGGACAAUGGGCGCAAGCCUGAUCCAGCCAUGCCGCGUGUGUGAAGAAGGCCUUCGGGUUGUAAAGCACUUUCGGACGGAACGAAAUCGCGCGGACGAACAUUCCGCGUGGAUGACGGUACCGUAAGAAGAAGCACCGGCUAACUACGUGCCAGCCGCCGCAGUAA